RNAcentral lists this ribosomal RNA (1455 nucleotides) under uncultured bacterium. Its description in RNAcentral is "bacterial SSU rRNA". It matches the Rfam family "Bacterial small subunit ribosomal RNA". The record is from RNAcentral.
AGAGUUUGAUCCUGGCUCAGAACGAACGCUGGCGGCAGGCCUAACACAUGCAAGUCGAGCGCACCCUUCGGGGCGAGCGGCGGACGGGUUAGUAACGCGUGGGAAUGUACCCAGAUCUACGGAAUAGCCUCGGGAAACUGAGAGUAAUACCGUAUACGCCCUUCGGGGGAAAGAUUUAUCGGAUUUGGAUCAGCCCGCGUUAGAUUAGAUAGUUGGUGGGGUAAUGGCCUACCAAGUCUACGAUCUAUAGCUGGUUUUAGAGGAUGAUCAGCAACACUGGGACUGAGACACGGCCCAGACUCCUACGGGAGGCAGCAGUGGGGAAUCUUAGACAAUGGGCGCAAGCCUGAUCUAGCCAUGCCGCGUGUGUGAUGAAGGCCCUAGGGUCGUAAAGCACUUUCGCCAGGGAUGAUAAUGACAGUACCUGGUAAAGAAACCCCGGCUAACUCCGUGCCAGCAGCCGCGGUAAUACGGAGGGGGUUAGCGUUGUUCGGAAUUACUGGGCGUAAAGCGUACGUAGGCGGAUCAGAAAGUAGGGGGUGAAAUCCCGAGGCUCAACCUCGGAACUGCCUCCUAAACUCCUGGUCUUGAGUUCGAGAGAGGUGAGUGGAAUUCCAAGUGUAGAGGUGAAAUUCGUAGAUAUUUGGAGGAACACCAGUGGCGAAGGCGGCUCACUGGCUCGAUACUGACGCUGAGGUACGAAAGUGUGGGGAGCAAACAGGAUUAGAUACCCUGGUAGUCCACACCGUAAACGAUGAAUGCCAGUCGUCGGGCAGUAUACUGUUCGGUGACACACCUAACGGAUUAAGCAUUCCGCCUGGGGAGUACGGUCGCAAGAUUAAAACUCAAAGGAAUUGACGGGGGCCCGCACAAGCGGUGGAGCAUGUGGUUUAAUUCGACGCAACGCGCAGAACCUUACCAACCCUUGACAUCCUGUGCUAACUCGAGAGAUCGAGCGUUCACUUCGGUGACGCAGUGACAGGUGCUGCAUGGCUGUCGUCAGCUCGUGUCGUGAGAUGUUCGGUUAAGUCCGGCAACGAGCGCAACCCACAUCCUUAGUUGCCAGCAGGUUAAGCUGGGCACUCUAGGGAAACUGCCCGUGAUAAGCGGGAGGAAGGUGUGGAUGACGUCAAGUCCUCAUGGCCCUUACGGGUUGGGCUACACACGUGCUACAAUGGCAGUGACAAUGGGUUAAUCCCCAAAAGCUGUCUCAGUUCGGAUUGGGGUCUGCAACUCGACCCCAUGAAGUCGGAAUCGCUAGUAAUCGCGUAACAGCAUGACGCGGUGAAUACGUUCCCGGGCCUUGUACACACCGCCCGUCACACCAUGGGAGUUGGUUCUACCCGACGGCCGUGCGCUAACCUUUUGGAGGCAGCGGACCACGGUAGGAUCAGCGACUGGGGUGAAGUCGUAACAAGGUAGCCGUAGGGGAACCUGCGGCUGGAUCACCUCCUU